UGGUGAUGUACAUUUCCAGGAUCAUGGCAU
RNAcentral lists this non-coding RNA (30 nucleotides) under Mus musculus (house mouse). The record is from RNAcentral. Lineage: Eukaryota; Metazoa; Chordata; Mammalia; Rodentia; Muridae.